Molecule: ribosomal RNA, 508 nt
Filed under: uncultured bacterium
Lineage: Bacteria
Description: partial 16S ribosomal RNA
Source: RNAcentral
GGAGUUAGCCGGUGCUUCUUCUGCGAGUAACGUCACAGAUGUAAGGUAUUAACUUACACCCUUUCCUCCUCGCUGAAAGUGCUUUACAACCCGAAGGCCUUCUUCACACACGCGGCAUGGCUGCAUCAGGGUUUCCCCCAUUGUGCAAUAUUCCCCACUGCUGCCUCCCGUAGGAGUCUGGGCCGUGUCUCAGUCCCAGUGUGGCUGAUCAUCCUCUCAGACCAGCUAGGGAUCGUCGCCUAGGUGAGCCUUUACCUCACCUACUAGCUAAUCCCACCUGGGCUUAUCCAUCAGCGCAAGGCCCGAAGGUCCCCUGCUUUCCCCCGUAGGGCGUAUGCGGUAUUAGCAGUCGUUUCCAACUGUUAUCCCCCACAAUGGGCAAAUUCCCAGGCAUUACUCACCCGUCCGCCGCUCGUCAUCUUCAAAGCAAGCUUUUGAAUGUUACCGCUCGACUUGCAUGUGUUAGGCCUGCCGCCAGCGUUCAAUCUGAGCCAGAAUCGAACCCUGA